This is a long non-coding RNA of Solanum dulcamara, 667 nucleotides long. RefSeq lists it as uncharacterized. The record is from RefSeq and is a predicted model, not a curated record. The transcript is spliced from 3 exons. Lineage: Eukaryota; Viridiplantae; Streptophyta; Magnoliopsida; Solanales; Solanaceae.
AAAUAACCCAUUUAACGCAUUCUUCAUCUCCACCCAUUCUCAAACGAAACUAAAUUAGGGCUAAAGAACUUCCAAUCGAAUUUCUUCUUGACCCACUUAAAGUUAUUCAUCUCAAAGAAAAUGCGAUUGUGGUUUGGUUGCCAAAAUUCUGACUUCGAGUAUUAUAUCUAAUCGGUGAAGUAGAUUCUACAGAUGUCCUCAUCCGGAUAUCAAGCUUUUCCCGAGAUAGCUUACCUACGUAGUUUAGAGUUGUCAUUGAAAGAUGUCAAGAUUGAAAUGGUUAAUUUGAAGCUUGAAAUGGAGAACUUGAAGAUUGCAAUGGAAAAUUUGAAGAUUGAAAGUUAGAAUUUGAAGAUUGAAGAAGGUCAUUUGUCGGAAAAAUUGCUACAUUGGAGGCAACUAAUGAUUUGAAAGUGGAAAAAGUUAGAACAUUUGAAGAAAAGUAUUGUAAGAUGAAAUAUAAAUUUAUGAUUUCAUAAUUUUUUUUGUUGGAUUUGUAGUUGCAUUGAUGAGAAAGUGAAGACAAAAUUUGGUUUUGUUAUGAAUGUAAGUUGUUAAGUAGAUGAAGAAUUGUUAUUUUAAUUUAGUUUUGUAAUGAAUGUACUAGUCACUUAUGUAUUGAUGUGAAACUAUUUUAGUGUUUAUGAAGUAAUGUUUAGUAGUUGAA